GAAGAACGCUGGCGGCAUGCCUAACACAUGCAAGUCGAACGAAGUCUUCGGACUUAGUGGCGCACGGGUGCGUAACGCGUGGGAAUCUGCCCUUGGGUGCGGAAUAACUUCUCGAAAGGGAUGCUAAUACCGCAUAAUGUCGUAAGACCAAAGAUUUAUCGCCCAAGGAUGAGCCCGCGUAAGAUUAGCUAGUUGGUGGGGUAAAAGCCUACCAAGGCGACGAUCUUUAGCUGGUCUGAGAGGAUGAUCAGCCACACUGGGACUGAGACACGGCCCAGACUCCUACGGGAGGCAGCAGUGGGGAAUAUUGGACAAUGGGCGAAAGCCUGAUCCAGCAAUGCCGCGUGAGUGAUGAAGGCCCUAGGGUUGUAAAGCUCUUUUACCAGGGAUGAUAAUGACAGUACCUGGAGAAUAAGCUCCGGCUAACUCCGUG
RNAcentral lists this ribosomal RNA (433 nucleotides) under uncultured bacterium. RNAcentral's name for it is "bacterial SSU rRNA". It matches the Rfam family "Bacterial small subunit ribosomal RNA", at positions 28 to 507 of the family's 1533-position model. The record is from RNAcentral.